RNAcentral lists this ribosomal RNA (729 nucleotides) under uncultured Glomeromycotina. RNAcentral's name for it is "SSU rRNA". It matches the Rfam family "Eukaryotic small subunit ribosomal RNA", at positions 373 to 1097 of the family's 1831-position model. Lineage: Eukaryota; Fungi; Glomeromycota. The record is from RNAcentral.
GGGUUCGAUUCCGGAGAGGGAGCCUGAGAAACGGCUACCACAUCCAAGGAAGGCAGCAGGCGCGCAAAUUACCCAAUCCCGACACGGGGAGGUAGUGACAAUAAAUAACAAUACGGGGCUCUUUCGGGUCUCGUAAUUGGAAUGAGUACAAUUUAAAUCCCUUAACGAGGAACAAUUGGAGGGCAAGUCUGGUGCCAGCAGCCGCGGUAAUUCCAGCUCCAAUAGCGUAUAUUAAAGUUGUUGCAGUUAAAAAGCUCGUAGUUGAAUUUCGGGAUUGACACAUCGGUCGUGCCUUAAGGGGUAUGAACUGGUGUAGUCAAUUUCUCACCUUCUGGAGAACCGCGAUGCCCUUAAUUGGGUGUCGCGGGGAACCAGGACCUUUACUUUGAAAAAAUUAGAGUGUUUAAAGCAGGCAUUUUGCUUGAAUACAUUAGCAUGGAAUAAUAAAAUAGGACGGCAUGAUUCUAUUUUGUUGGUUUCUAGGAUCACCGUAAUGAUUAAUAGGGAUAGUUGGGGGCAUUAGUAUUCAAUUGUCAGAGGUGAAAUUCUUGGAUUUAUUGAAGACUAACUACUGCGAAAGCAUUUGCCAAGGAUGUUUUCAUUAAUCAAGAACGAAAGUUAGGGGAUCGAAGACGAUCAGAUACCGUCGUAGUCUUAACCAUAAACUAUGCCGACUAGGAAUCAGACGAUGUUAAUUUUUUAAUGACUCGUUUGGCACCUUACGGGAAA